This 443-nucleotide ribosomal RNA is filed under the name uncultured bacterium. RNAcentral describes it as "partial 16S ribosomal RNA". It matches the Rfam family "Bacterial small subunit ribosomal RNA", at positions 338 to 795 of the family's 1533-position model. The record is from RNAcentral.
CCUACGGGAGGCAGCAGUGGGGAAUAUUGGACAAUGGGGGGAAGCCUGAUCCAGCGACGUCGCGUGAGUGAAGAAGUAUUUCGGUAUGUAAAGCUCUAUCAGCAGGGAAGAAAGAAAUGACGGUACCUGACUAAGAAGCCCCGGCUAACUACGUGCCAGCAGCCGCGGUAAUACGUAGGGGGCAAGCGUUAUCCGGAUUUACUGGGUGUAAAGGGAGCGUAGACGGGGAUGCAAGUCUGAAGUGAAAGGCGGGGGCCCAACCCCUGGACUGCUUUGGAAACUGUAUGGCUGGAGUGCAGGGGGGGUAAGUGGAAUUCGUAGUGUAGCGGUGAAAUGCGUAGAUAUUAGGAGGAACACCAGUGGCGAAGGCGGCUUACUGGACUGUAACUGACGUUGAGGCUCGAAAGCGUGGGGAGCAAACAGGAUUAGAUACCCCUGUAGUC